RNAcentral lists this transfer RNA (72 nucleotides) under Capra hircus (goat). It matches the Rfam family "tRNA". Rfam says of the family: Transfer RNA (tRNA) molecules are approximately 80 nucleotides in length. Their secondary structure includes four short double-helical elements and three loops (D, anti-codon, and T loops). Lineage: Eukaryota; Metazoa; Chordata; Mammalia; Artiodactyla; Bovidae. The record is from Rfam by way of RNAcentral. RNAcentral also lists the same sequence under 1 other name.
UCCCUGGUGGCUCAGAGGUUAAAGCAUCUGCCUGCAAUGCAGAAGACCUGGGUUCGAUCCCUGGGUUGGGAA